Podarcis muralis (Common wall lizard) is the source of this 1133-nucleotide long non-coding RNA. The record is from Ensembl. Lineage: Eukaryota; Metazoa; Chordata; Lepidosauria; Squamata; Lacertidae.
UGUAAAUUGCUUCAGAGAAUUCUACCACUCCUGCACUUCCAGAGAAAAAAAUAUUUUCUGAUUGGGCAUCAUGUUACAGACAAACGUCUUUCCACGUGUUUGUAUGUACAUCUUGGGAGCUUGGAGCACCAUACAUGGGCCUCGUUGCAUUCUCACAACAAUCCUGUGAGGAGAAUGCUGAGAUUUGGAGGAAGCUGAAUUCUAUGCCCAGUUCCACAAACUACACCCCCCCCCCGUGCCCUUUCAGCAUCACAUCAUCCUUGAGCCAAAGGCGGAAGGGAUUUAGGAAGGAAGACAGGAGAUCUACGUUCACAGAAAGCUUUUGGCUCCUCGGUGGUCUUCCCUCUAUGCAGGUUACAGGACCAAACCUGCUUAACUUGCACCAUCAUGCGCCUUGAGGCCAUUCUUUCUUGUAAGAAUGAUUUCAAGCGGAAGCAAAAGGCUGUACUCCCAUUGUGGACACAAUCAAGCAAAGGUUAGUCAAAAGUUAUUGAUGGAAGCAACAGAAUAAUAAAUCAGGCCUUAGUCACCACUAAUGUUUUUCUGUAUAUACCUGUUUGCGGUAUCCAGUUAAAAUCACUUCCAGUGUUUCAUUCUUGAACCUUGUUCUUAUAUAAUUUCCCACUGAAAUUAAGGGGGAUUUAAAGCGCUUAAUUGUGACUCGAUCAAUAUUACUUUUGGUUUUUGGGACGCGGGUGGCGCUGUGGGUAAAAGCCUCAGCGCCUAGGGCUUGCCGAUCGAAAGGUCGGCGGUUCGAAUCCCCGCGGCGGGGUGCGCUCCCGCUGCUCAGUCCCAGCGCCUGCCAACCUAGCAGUUCGAAAGCACCCCUGGGUGCAAGUAGAUAAAUAGGGACCACUUACUAGCGGGAAGGUAAACGGCAUUCCGUGUGCUGCGCUGGCUCACCAGAUGCAGCUUGUCACGCUGGCCACGUGACCCGGAAGUGUCUUCGGACAGCGCUGGCCCCCGGCCUAUAGAGUGAGAUGGGCGCACAACCCUAGAGUCUGUCAAGACUGGCCCGUACGGGCAGGGGUACCUUUACCUUUACCUUAGUAAAACCUCCAGAACCAAGUUUUAACGAUAAUAUUACCCGGCAGCUAUUCAACAUUUUUCCUAAGUGCUGAAGGUUUACAUAA